GGCCGCCUGGCGUAAUGGCAACGCGUCUGACUACGAUGGUCCGGUGUGUCCGAAUGAUCAGGAGAUUGCAGGUUCGACCCCUGCGGUGGUCA
Cerioporus squamosus is the source of this 92-nucleotide non-coding RNA. The record is from the annotation of a GenBank genome assembly. Lineage: Eukaryota; Fungi; Basidiomycota; Agaricomycetes; Polyporales; Polyporaceae.